UGGAGGAUUGAGAAGGUUCAACAGCUUGUGUUGUGCUGUUACAACUGGUUAUAACCUCCUAAAGUAAGCGACAGCUCACAUAAUCAAGCCUCUCUGUUCCAUACAGAGCAGCUACGUGUGUUUGUUGGUCAUCUU
Salarias fasciatus (jewelled blenny) is the source of this 135-nucleotide small nucleolar RNA. NCBI's taxonomy places the organism in Eukaryota, Metazoa, Chordata, Actinopteri, Blenniiformes, Blenniidae. The record is from Ensembl.